AUAUCCCCUUAUCUCAUCUCAGUCGUUCCACUCACGGUAGUAGAAACCCUCGUCUCUCCCUCACUGCUCAUCUUACUCCUUGGCAACGAAAAGCCUCCUUGAUCAUGGUGAAAUCAAGAGGAUGACACUCCAAAUCACCAAAACAAAUAGGAAGAAGCACCAACCCUAAUCAGAGCUCUUUGCAAUUUUGAACACGAGGAACUCAGCCAUUUCUAAUCCAUCUUGAUCGGGCGAGAACCUCGCGGCAUGGAGGAAUCUGGUCAAGCAAAGGCAACCCGAAGUAAACACCUUCCCAAUUGUAUUCUUGGAACUCCUUGGGUCAAAAUCAACAUCACUCGGAAGACUCGCUCUUGAGUCGUCAAAACACAAUGGGUCAUCCUCAAAAAAAUAUUUGAUGACAUCUGCGACAUUAAAGGUCUUUGAAAUUCUCCAGUUGCUCGAUAGGUAAAUUACAUACGUGUUAUCAUUGAUAUUAAUAUAUUAUUGAUAAUCUUGAAGAAGAUAAACUUCUUUGGACUCAGCUUCUAAAAAUUUCUUAUUGAAAUUCUCUUUUUAUGGAUAAAAAACAUCAACUGGUCACCCACGUAGAAAG
Long non-coding RNA from Ipomoea nil (Japanese morning glory), 592 nucleotides. RefSeq lists it as uncharacterized. The record is from RefSeq and is a predicted model, not a curated record. Lineage: Eukaryota; Viridiplantae; Streptophyta; Magnoliopsida; Solanales; Convolvulaceae. The transcript is spliced from 2 exons.